RNAcentral lists this ribosomal RNA (436 nucleotides) under uncultured bacterium. RNAcentral's name for it is "bacterial SSU rRNA". It matches the Rfam family "Bacterial small subunit ribosomal RNA", at positions 954 to 1392 of the family's 1533-position model. The record is from RNAcentral.
GCAGAACGCGAAGAACCUUACCAGGGCUUAAAUGCAGUCCGACAGGAUUGGAAACAGUCCUUUCUUCGGACGGAUUGCAAGGUGCUGCAUGGUUGUCGUCAGCUCGUGCCGUGAGGUGUCAGGUUAAGUCCUAUAACGAGCGCAACCCCUGCCGUUAGUUGCCAGCGAGUAAAGUCGGGAACUCUAGCGGGACUGCCGGUGCAAACCGUGAGGAAGGUGGGGAUGACGUCAAAUCAUCACGGCCCUUACGUUCUGGGCCACACACGUGCUACAAUGGCAGGUACAAUGGGCAGCCACUGCGCAAGCAGGCGCGAAUCCACAAAACCUGUCUCAGUUCGGAUCGGGGUCUGCAACUCGACCCCGUGAAGCUGGAAUCGCUAGUAAUCGGAUAUCAGCCAUGAUCCGGUGAAUACGUUCCCGGGUCUUGUACACACCG